Molecule: ribosomal RNA, 2396 nt
Filed under: wastewater metagenome
Description: bacterial LSU rRNA
Rfam family: Bacterial large subunit ribosomal RNA
Source: RNAcentral
GAAAGUUACUAAGGGCAUACGGUGGAUGCCUUGGGUCUGAGAGGCGAUGAAGGACGUGAUAAGCUGCGAUAAGCUUCGGGAAGGUGCACAUAACCUGCGAUCCGAAGAUUUCCGAAUGGGGCAACCCCUUAUAUUGAAGAUAUAAGAUCUGCGCAAGCGGAGGCGAACGGGGAGAACUGAAACAUCUAAGUACCCCCAGGAAGAGAAAAUAAUCUAAUGAUUUCCUGAGUAGUGGCGAGCGAAAGGGAAAGAGCCCAAACCAUUCUCACUUGUGGGAGUGGGGUUGUAGGACUACAAUAUUGACUUAUAAUGUGAAGUAGAACGCUCUGGAAAGUGCGGCCAUAGAAGGUGAUAGCCCUGUAAACGUAAGCAUUAUAUACAUAGUAGUAUCCUGAGUACCGCGAGGUCGGAGACGCCUUGUGGGAAUCUGCCAGCACCAUCUGGUAAGGCUAAAUACUCCUCAGACACCGAUAGCGCACUAGUACUGUGAAGGAAAGGUGAAAAGAACCGCGAACAGCGGAGUGAAAUAGAACCUGAAACCGUAUGCCUACAAGCGGUCAGAGCCCUUUCGUGGGGUGAUGGCGUGCCUUUUGCAUAAUGAUCCUACGAGUUACUGGUCCCUGGCAAGGUUAAGCUACUAAGUAGUGAAGCCGCAGCGAAAGCGAGUCUGAAUAGGGCGAAUAGUCAGUGGCCGUAGACGCGAAACCUUGUGAUCUACCCAUGGGCAGGAUGAAGUGACGGUAACACGUCAUGGAGGUCCGAACUUAUAAGCGUUGAAAAGCUUCAGGAUGACCUGUGGGUAGGGGUGAAAGGCUAAUCAAACUGGGAGAUAGCUCGUACUCUCCGAAAUGCUUUUAGGAGCAGCGUCGUCAUUAGAAAAUUAAUUAGAGGUAGAGCUACCGAUUGGGCUAGGGGGCUUCACCGCCUACCAAACCCUGACGAACUCCGAAUGCUAAUUAAUAUAGACGGCAGUGAGGCUGCAGAUGAUAAGGUCUGUAGCCGAAAGGGAAACAACCCAGACCAUCAGCUAAGGUUCCUAAAUCAAAGUUAAGUUGCACAAACGUUGUCCGAUUGCUAUAACAGCCAGGAUGUUUGCUUGGAAGCAGCAAUCAUUUAAAGAGUGCGUAACAGCUCACUGGUCGAGUGAUCGGGCGCGGAAGAAUGACCGGACAUCAAACUUUGUACCGAAGCUAUGGGAUCGAAAGAUCGGUAGGAGAGCAUUCCAGCGCCGUCGAAGGUGGAUCGUGAGGUCUGCUGGAGGUUCUGGAAAAGAAAAUGUAGGAAUAAGUAACGAUAAAACAAGUGAAAAACUUGUUCGCCACAAGCCUAAGGGUUCCUGAUCAAUGUUAAUCAGAUCAGGGUUAGUCGGAUCCUAAGGACCACCCGAAAGGGGACCUCCGAUGGAAAACAGGUUAAUAUUCCUGUACUUGUGUAAGUUUCGAUGGGGUGACGGAGUAGUGAAAGUGCCGCGUACUGACGGAAUAGUACGUUAAAGUGUUUAGGUAUAUCGAUUGUUGGUAAAUCCGCAGUUGAUGCUGAGACACGACAGUAUCUCAAACCUUCGGGGGAGGGAAUAGUGCACCUAAUCAGACUUCCAAGAAAAACCUCUAAGGCUAGGCUUAUACAAUCCGUACCGUAAACCGACACAGGUGGGCGAGGAGAAUAUCCUAAGGCGCUCGGGUGAGCCGCGGCUAAGGAACUCGGCAAAAUAGUCCUGUAACUUCGGGAGAAAGGACCCCUCCUUCGGGAGGGCGCAGUGAAUAGGCCCAGGCGACUGUUUAACAAAAACACAGGACUCUGCUAAAUCGAAAGAUGAUGUAUAGGGUCUGACACCUGCCCGGUGCUGGAAGGUUAAAGAAGGGGGUUAGCCGCAAGGCGACGCUCUCGACUGAAGCCCCAGUAAACGGCGGCCGUAACUAUAACGGUCCUAAGGUAGCGAAAUUCCUUACUGUCUCAGCCGCGAGCCCGGUGAAAUUGAAGUAUCGGUGAAGAUGCCGGUUUCCCGCAACGGGACGGAAAGACCCCAUGCACCUUCACUAUAGCUUCGCACUGAUUUUGAUUACACGAUGUGUAGGAUAGGUGGGAGACUUUGAAGCGGUGGCGCCAGCCAUCGUGGAGUCAACCUUGAAAUACCACCCUUCGUUUGAUUAGAAUCUAACUCUGGAUAAAGAGGACAAUGCGUGGUGGGUAGUUUGACUGGGGUGGUCGCCUCCCAAAGAGUAACGGAGGCUUCCAAAGGUACCCUCAGCACGCUUAGUAACCGUGCGUAGAGUGCAAUGGCACAAGGGUGCUUGACUGCAAGACCAACAAGUCGAGCAGGUACGAAAGUAGGGCAUAGUGAUCCGGUGGUUCCGCAUGGAAGGGCCAUCGCUCAUAGGAUAAAAGGUACGCUGGGG